This 497-nucleotide ribosomal RNA is filed under the name uncultured bacterium. Its description in RNAcentral is "partial 16S ribosomal RNA". It matches the Rfam family "Bacterial small subunit ribosomal RNA", at positions 28 to 507 of the family's 1533-position model. The record is from RNAcentral.
GACGAACGCUGGCGGCGUGCCUAAUACAUGCAAGUUGAGCGCUGAAGGUUGGUACUUGUACCAACUGGAUGAGCAGCGAACGGGUGAGUAACGCGUGGGGAAUCUGCCUUUGAGCGGGGGACAACAUUUGGAAACGAAUGCUAAUACCGCAUAAAAACUUUAAACACAAGUUUUAAGUUUGAAAGAUGCAAUUGCAUCACUCAAAGAUGAUCCCGCGUUGUAUUAGCUAGUUGGUGAGGUAAAGGCUCACCAAGGCGAUGAUACAUAGCCGACCUGAGAGGGUGAUCGGCCACAUUGGGACUGAGACACGGCCCAAACUCCUACGGGAGGGAGCAGUAGGGAAUCUUCGGCAAUGGACGAAAGUCUGACCGAGCAACGCCGCGUGAGUGAAGAAGGUUUUCGGAUCGUAAAACUCUGUUGGUAGAGAAGAACGUUGGUGAGAGUGGAAAGCUCAUCAAGUGACGGUAACUACCCAGAAAGGGACGGCUAACUACGUG